CCUACGGGGGGCAGCAGUGGGGAAUAUUGGACAAUGGGGGCAACCCUGAUCCAGCCAUGCCGCGUGUGUGAAGAAGGCCCGCGGGUUGUAAAGCACUUUCAGUGAGGAAGAACGCCUGGUGGUUAAUACCCAUCAGGAAAGACAUCACUCACAGAAGAAGCACCGGCUAACUCCGUGCCAGCAGCCGCGGUAAUACGGAGGGUGCGAGCGUUAAUCGGAAUUACUGGGCGUAAAGCGCGCGUAGGUGGCUUGAUAAGCCGGUUGUGAAAGCCCCGGGCUCAACCUGGGAACGGCAUCCGGAACUGUCAAGCUAGAGUGCAGGAGAGGAAGGUAGAAUUCCCGGUGUAGCGGUGAAAUGCGUAGAGAUCGGGAGGAAUACCAGUGGCGAAGGCGGCCUUCUGGACUGACACUGACACUGAGGUGCGAAAGCGUGGGUAGCAAACAGGAUUAGAUACCCGGGUAGUC
RNAcentral lists this ribosomal RNA (465 nucleotides) under Vreelandella stevensii. RNAcentral describes it as "partial 16S ribosomal RNA". It matches the Rfam family "Bacterial small subunit ribosomal RNA", at positions 338 to 795 of the family's 1533-position model. Lineage: Bacteria; Pseudomonadati; Pseudomonadota; Gammaproteobacteria; Oceanospirillales; Halomonadaceae. The record is from RNAcentral.